Molecule: ribosomal RNA, 309 nt
Filed under: uncultured archaeon
Lineage: Archaea
Description: bacterial SSU rRNA
Rfam family: Archaeal small subunit ribosomal RNA
Source: RNAcentral
CGGUGUGGUAAAUCUCAUGUGAAAUCGUCAGGCUCAACCUGACGGCGAGCUUGGGACACUGCCACGCUUGAGACCGGGAGGGGUCAAAGGUAUUCCAAGGGGAGCGGUAAAAUGUGAUAAUCCUUGGAAGAUCGCCUAUGGCGAAGGCAUUUGACCAGAACGGAUCUGACGGUGAGGGACGAAGGCCAGGGGAGCGAUCCGGAUUAGAUACCCGAGUAGUCCUGGCAGUAAACGCUGCGAGCUAGAUGUUGCACAUCUUAAGAGGGUGUGCAGUAUCGAAAGGAAGCUGAUAAGCUCGCCGCCUGGGAA